RNAcentral lists this ribosomal RNA (492 nucleotides) under uncultured bacterium. Its description in RNAcentral is "partial 16S ribosomal RNA". It matches the Rfam family "Bacterial small subunit ribosomal RNA", at positions 29 to 507 of the family's 1533-position model. The record is from RNAcentral.
AGUGAACGCUGGCGGUAGGCCUAACACAUGCAAGUCGAACGGCAGCACAGUAAGAGCUUGCUCUUACGGGUGGCGAGUGGCGGACGGGUGAGGUAUACAUCGGAAUCUACUUUUUCGUGGGGGAUAACGUAGGGAAACUUACGCUAAUACCGCAUACGACCUACGGGUGAAAGCAGGGGAUCUUCGGACCUUGCGCGAUUGAAUGAGCCGAUGUCGGAUUAGCUAGUUGGCGGGGUAAAGGCCCACCAAGGCGAGGAUCCGUAGCUGGUCUGAGAGGAUGAUCAGCCACACUGGAAGUGAGACACGGUCCAGACUCCUACGGGACGCAGCAGUGGGGAAUAUGGGACAAUGGGCGCAAGCCUGAUCCAGCCAUACCGAGUGGGUGAAGAAGGCCUUCGGGUUGUAAAGCCCUUUUGUUGGGAAAGAAAAGCAGCAGGUUAAUACCCCGCUGUUCUGACGGUACCCAAAGAAUAAGCACCGGCUAGCUUCGUG